This 301-nucleotide ribosomal RNA is filed under the name uncultured bacterium. RNAcentral's name for it is "partial 16S ribosomal RNA". It matches the Rfam family "Bacterial small subunit ribosomal RNA", at positions 509 to 807 of the family's 1533-position model. The record is from RNAcentral.
CAGCCGCCGCGGUAAUACGUAGGGUGCAAGCGUUAAUCGGAAUUACUGGGCGUAAAGCGUGCGCAGGCGGUUUGUUAAGACAGAUGUGAGAUCCCCGGGCUUAACCUGGGAACUGCAUUUGUGACUGGCAAGCUAGAGUCUGGCAGAGGGGGGUGGAAUUCCGCGUGUAGCAGUGAAAUGCGUAGAGAUCUGGAGGAAUACCGGUGGCCAAGGCGGCCCCCUGGACAAAGACUGACGCUCAGGUGCGAAAGCGUGGGGAGCAAACAGGAUUAGAUACCCCGGUAGUCCCUGUCUCUUAUAC